CCCUUGACAUCCCGAUCGCGGAGAGUGGAGACACACUCCUUCAGUUCGGCUGGAUCGGAGACAGGUGCUGCAUGGCUGUCGUCAGCUCGUGUCGUGAGAUGUUGGGUUAAGUCCCGCAACGAGCGCAACCCUCGCCCUUAGUUGCCAUCAUUCAGUUGGGCACUCUAAGGGGACUGCCGGUGAUAAGCCGCGAGGAAGGUGGGGAUGACGUCAAGUCCUCAUGGCCCUUACGGGCUGGGCUACACACGUGCUACAAUGGCGGUGACAAUGGGAAGCGAAGGGGCGACCCUUGGCAAAUCUCAAAAAGCCGUCUCAGUUCGGAUUGGGCUCUGCAACUCGAGCCCAUGAAGUUGGAAUCGCUAGUAAUCGCAGAUCAGCACGCUGCGGUGAAUACGUUCCC
Molecule: ribosomal RNA, 400 nt
Filed under: uncultured Rhodoplanes sp.
Lineage: Bacteria; Pseudomonadati; Pseudomonadota; Alphaproteobacteria; Hyphomicrobiales; Nitrobacteraceae
Description: bacterial SSU rRNA
Rfam family: Bacterial small subunit ribosomal RNA
Source: RNAcentral